RNAcentral lists this ribosomal RNA (315 nucleotides) under uncultured eukaryote. Its description in RNAcentral is "partial 18S ribosomal RNA". It matches the Rfam family "Eukaryotic small subunit ribosomal RNA", at positions 1470 to 1796 of the family's 1831-position model. The record is from RNAcentral.
CCCUUAGACGUUCUGGGCCGCACGCGCGCUACACUGACCAGUGCAACAAGCAUCCGUCCUUGGCCGACAGGCCCGGGCAAUCUUUGAACGCUGGUCGUGAUGGGGAUAGACUUUUGCAAUUUUUGGUCUUCAACUAGGAAUUCCUAGUAAACGCAAGUCAUCAACUUGCAUUGAUUACGUCCCUGCCCUUUGUACACACCGCCCGUCGCACCUACCGAUUGAAUGGUCCGGUGAAGCCUCCGGAUUGGCGCGCACCUCGGUGCCGCCGAGAAGUUGGCUAAACCUUACCAUUUAGAGGAAGGUGAAGUCGUANCA